Molecule: ribosomal RNA, 465 nt
Filed under: uncultured Anoxybacillus sp.
Lineage: Bacteria; Bacillati; Bacillota; Bacilli; Caryophanales; Anoxybacillaceae
Description: bacterial SSU rRNA
Rfam family: Bacterial small subunit ribosomal RNA
Source: RNAcentral
ACGGGGCCGCACAAGCGGUGGAGCAUGUGUUUAAUCGAAGCAACGCGAAGAACCUUACCAGGUCUUGACAUCCCUGACAACCCGAGAGAUCGGGCGUUCCCCUUCGGGGGACAGGGUGACAGGUGGUGCAUGGUUGUCGUCAGCUCGUGUCGUGAGAUGUUGGGUUAAGUCCCGCAACGAGCGCAACCCUCGACCUUAGUUGCCAGCAUUCAGUCGGGCACUCUAAGGUGACUGCCGGCUAGAAGUCGGAGGAAGGUGGGGAUGACGUCAAAUCAUCAUGCCCCUUAUGACCUGGGCUACACACGUGCUACAAUGGGCGGUACAAAGGGUCGCGAACCCGCGAGGGGGAGCCAAUCCCAAAAAGCCGCUCUCAGUUCGGAUUGCAGGCUGCAACUCGCCUGCAUGAAGCCGGAAUCGCUAGUAAUCGCGGAUCAGCAUGCCGCGGUGAAUACGUUCCCGGGCCUU